Molecule: long non-coding RNA, 1034 nt
Filed under: Phaseolus vulgaris (common bean)
Lineage: Eukaryota; Viridiplantae; Streptophyta; Magnoliopsida; Fabales; Fabaceae
Description: long non-coding RNA (PVUL_LNC002221)
Source: RNAcentral
ACAAAAUAAAAAUAAAAAUGAAAGGAUGACAGAGAAAAUCAAAGUUCGAAACUUUGAUAAAAAGAACAGAGAACAAUAAAUUUAAGAAAACUUUUGCAUGUUAGAAAGAAAGUUUUUUUUGUUUUGUUUUCAGAAACAGAGAACCAAAGACCAAAACACAAUAUUCUCCUAUCUUUGAUCCUACACAUUGAUCUUCAAAUUACACAUUGAUCUUCAAAUGUAGGCUACACAUUAAGCAGCAACGUGUUCUUCAAUCUGAUAUUCAGACACUUCUUCAAAUGCAGCCUACACAAUAAAGUCUAAUAAAAGUAAAAAACAAUAACAAUGGACAAUUCAAAUUCAAAAAGAAAUGACCUUUGAUCAGAAACAGAGAACCAUAGACAAAUAAAAAUGAGAAAAAGCGAUGGAAGACAACUUUGAUAAAAAGAACAAAGAAGAAAAAUAAACAUAAAUUUAAGAAAGGUUUUGCAUGUUAGAAAGAAAGUAAUAGAAUACAACCUGAACAGUUGAGUUGCAAUGCCUGUUUGAAUGCAUGGAGGAAGUGUUUGCCAUCUUUGAACUAGUAGUAAUGAUGAAAAACAAACACAUUGAAUAAGUUGGAUAAGAUGAACAAAAAGCGAAAAAUGAGAAAUAAGAUGAACAGAUGAACAAAUCAAAAGAACAAAAUAUCAGAAAGGCAAAAAUAAAGAGCAAUGAAAUUAACACAUGCUUACAACCCUAAAACAUGAACUCAACCCUAGUGAAAAAUACACCGUAUAUAUAGUGAAAAUAAUGGUGUUUUGGGGAAAAAAAGCUUUCAAAUACGACAUCUCUGAAGUUGUCGAAUUGGUGAAAAGGAGUAAAGGAUAGUAAUUAGGUUUUAGAGAUACAGAGAAUGGGGAAAGCGACGCUAGAAAGCAGAAAUUGAAAUUGAAAUUCAAAACAUUACCUGAAGGGUGCUCUGUCAUUGUUCUGCACAACUCCUGGAAUCGACAUUUGUAGAGCCAUACACGCCUCUGGAAAAGUCAUUGCUAGGCACACAAAAAACACAUUCU